Molecule: transfer RNA, 65 nt
Filed under: Curculionoidea sp. 18 KM-2017
Lineage: Eukaryota; Metazoa; Arthropoda; Insecta; Coleoptera
Description: tRNA-Gly
Source: RNAcentral
ACUUAUAUAAUAUAAAUCAAUAUAUUUAAUUUCCAAUUAAACUCUCUAAUUAAUUAGUAUAAGUA